UGAAGUAACCAUUUCUCGCUGC
Molecule: non-coding RNA, 22 nt
Filed under: Arabidopsis thaliana (thale cress)
Lineage: Eukaryota; Viridiplantae; Streptophyta; Magnoliopsida; Brassicales; Brassicaceae
Source: RNAcentral